GGGGUGCCCGGCCUGGUCUUCUUGGUCUUGUCCUCCUCACUGGAGCUGCUAUCAGCCUUUCUGGCCAGGCUUCUGGCUGCUGCCUGCAGGCUGCUCAGGGCUUGGGUGGCUCAGGGGUGGAAUUCUUGGUGGUGCUGCCUGGGCUGGAGCUUCAUCCCCAGGGCUGUCGGGGCGGAGCUCCCUGAAGUGCUUCUGCCACCUUUGCUUUGUCCGGUCUUGUGCUUGCUCUGGGGAUGGCUGCCUUAGCCGGGUGUCUUCUCUUCCUCAGAGCUUGACUCAGACCCAUCGCUACUGUCCACACUGCUUUCCACAGACUCUGCCUCCAUCUCCGCUUUCUGGGGGGCUGGGUUCCCAGGGACGUCUUCAGUGGCAGUGCAGGAGGCGGGGGACUGAACUGCAGGGACCUGGUGCAUUCUUUGUGGGUUUUUCUCUCCUCCUCACUGGGGCAGUCUGCACUGCUGGAGCUCUUCGGUGCAGGACAACAGCGGCUUUCCCUGGGACCUGGCCCAUGACUUGCUUCCAGGUCCAGUCUUCUUGACUUGCCUGGUUUGGCUGGGGCCUUUGCCUGAGCUUUCACUGCCACAGGAUGCUGCCUGGCUUCUUGUUCCUUGGCACCUCAUCCUCUGAGCUUGAGCUAGAAUCAGGCAUGUUGCUCUUGGCUUGGGGCUUUCUGGGGAGCCUUUUUGUCCUCCUUCUCCUCCUCCUUGCUGGAUUCUCCACUGCUGCUGGUCUCUGAAGCUUUGGCUGCACGGGAUGCCCACUAAUUUGGCCUCUGUCUGUUUUCUGGAGGGAACACAGCUCCCACUAGGAGGCUGUGACCGGGAUUGAGAGUCUACUGUAGCUGGCAGGGGUGGUGCACCUUCAGGGAGAGGGUGGGACUGGACAUUAGGAACGCCAGGCAGUCAGUGUAAGCUCAGAGCUAGUGUGCUGCACUAGGAGGAGCAGAGGUGAAGGCAGGCGUGGCCAGGCGGGCAAACCGAGGAGCAGGAAAACCGAUGGCAGGACGGACUCACAGACCUCUCACGGGUGCACUCCCUUGUUUGGGUGGGGGGGACCAACCAUCUCCAGUGCUCACUUUGCUCAGCACACACAGAGCCUGUGCCUGCACGCCCAUUACCCUUUACUCUUAAUACAAUGAGUAUGGAGCUCCUCUUGGUGGUCAUUAUUAGAGAGUCCAGCUGUUGCUCUUUAGUGUCUUGUACAUAGGAGCUUUUUUUGUUUGUGGUGCUGAGCCAAAUCUCCAGCUCUCAGGACACAGGCUUUUUAUACAGGUUGAACUCCUUCCCAGGUUUUGUCUUUUUAAAAAAACAGCCAUGCACAUUUUUUCAUCUUUGUUGGGUCCUAUUUAUUUGUAUUCACUUAGGGUUAUAUUUGUUUAAGAAUAUAAUAUAUAUUUGUCUAUACUUAGAGUUAUAUUUGUUUAACC
This 1426-nucleotide long non-coding RNA is filed under the name Marmota monax (woodchuck). The record is from RNAcentral. Lineage: Eukaryota; Metazoa; Chordata; Mammalia; Rodentia; Sciuridae.